AUAAUAGUCUGAAGGUGAUUCCGUCUUCACUUGGAUCUCGUGACAAUACCUUGCUUAAUCCAGUCACAUUCAGUCAUCGGCUAUGCUUCUACCAGAUUUACAGUCCAGAAGAAAGAAUGUUUGAAGGUCGUGCCGACAUCACUAGAUACAUUCAGACAAAUUUAAAUAGCACCUUUUGCAAUGCACCUUGUACCAUUCUUACGGA
Sycon ciliatum is the source of this 205-nucleotide long non-coding RNA. RefSeq lists it as uncharacterized. NCBI's taxonomy places the organism in Eukaryota, Metazoa, Porifera, Calcarea, Leucosolenida, Sycettidae. The record is from RefSeq and is a predicted model, not a curated record. The transcript is spliced from 3 exons.